AGGCAGAGGGCCCGGCUUUAGCUGCUUGCUUUCUGAAAUCCCCAACAACGUAUGAAAUGUAGGUGGCAUACAUUAUCCUUUUUGCUAAAAUGAAAAUAAGAACUUCCGUGAUUGGUGGCUGAAGCUAAUGGGAAUUGAUAAAUUACUUUCCAUCCCAGUGGACAUGAAAUCUCCGAAGUUUUGGAUUUCAAUUGAAUGAGAAAUUACUUCUGCAACCAGUCAGCAGGAUCGAAUAUAACUGUGUUUUUUUAAUCUUAUCAGAGUGUGACAAAAAUCAGAAAAUUCAUAGCUGUGUGACUGCAGUAUGUGAAUGCACAAGUUGCAGAUACACUGUUUAGAGAAUUGUAAUUUAUGAGUGCCACCUCCGCAUUCGCAACGCUUGCUUAAAAUUUAGGGAUUCCUGGGAUGCUGGGAGACAGCUCCUCCACUCCCAUUAUGGCACAGCCUCAGGGGCCUGCAGGGACCAUGCAGCAAGGGUGGCUCUUUCCACCACGCAGGACCUGCUUUCACACACUCCAAGCACUCAGAAGCAACAGCUGGUUAAAAUACUGUUCUGAGGAGGAAGCCACUGGGCCCUCUCUACUUCUUCUGUAUCUUUCUUUGGCAGCUUCAGCAAUAAACAUGUCCAGGUAGUCUUUUAGAGUAAUGUGUUGCUGAUUUACUCAUUCUGCCCUGGGAGAAGGGGUGUGGAUCACCAGGUAUACCACUGUGCUCUCAUGAGCCCCAGCUUUAGCAGACAAAAGCAAGGUAUCAUUAGAAAAGGGAGAAUUUCAGAGCUUCACCAGGAAGAGGUAGAAGAUAAACUACCCUCAGGAGGCACAUGCCUUCCAAACAGCCAGGACUGGCUACAUGCAGGUGCUGUAGUGUGUGCUGUAGUGUGUACAUGCAGGAGUGUGUUGUUACACUCCAUCUCCCCCAGAUAUAAAUAGCAAUGUCAGCCAGGCGUGCCUUCAGCCAGCCAAUAGCUUGCACGCAUUCCUCCCAAGCCACAACAAUCUGUGCUUUUGUCAGCUCCAGCCUGCAUUGUACAACAUGUUGCCCGGAGAAGAUACCAGUGCCAGUGGUCCAAGUCACCCACAGCAAAUCCAGGCCAAUGUGCUCAAACACAGGCCUCAGACAUGCUGUGCAGUUCGCCCUCUCCACCUGCCUCUGUCUUUCUACUGUCCCUCAGCUGCAAGAUGGCAGUGUCUCCAGGCCCGCCUGGCCACGGAGCUCAGCACAGCCCUGUGCCCCACAGGCCCUGAGGAAGCCCAUCAGCAUGGCUUGGCAGGGUUUCUCCUGAAGCAGGGCUCACACUGGGGAUGAUCUAAUUUAGGAAUGUGGCAGAGAGUUCAGAUGCUUAUCCAGAGUUUAAAGAGUAGACAAACCUUUUAUCCUACAAGAUCUGGCUAGGUCCUCCGGUCCUUAUUCAGGCAAAACUAUAGCUGGCUUUAACGGGAACUUUGGCUGGGGAAAAAAAAAAGAAGAAGAAGAAGAAGAAAAAAAAAGAAAAACACCUGCAAGAUUUAACUUUUCCCUGGAAUUUUCAUGAGAUUUCUGGUUGGUUUUGCUCAAACUACAAAAGCAAUUUAAAUGCUCAUUCACCAUUCAGCCUGCAGUCACAGCCUGGAUCCUCAACCACCGUAAUAAGUGUCAGUGAAAAAUAACUGAGGAAAACUGAAGUGAGAGAGAAAAUAGAGAAAGAUCUUGUACACUGGACAAACGUUACAAGAAAUGAUUUCAUUCCAGAAUUUGCAGGGCAGAAGUAAAGCGUGCUGUCUUAUUAUGCAGUAAGAUAUGCAUAUUUUAAAUAUGGAUGUUAUAUAAACAUGACAGUCACAUGCAUCACCACAUUCACAGAAAGUUCUCUCUUGGGCUGUGCCCAAUACACACAUUUGGUCUGAAAUAUGUAUGACCACCAACAGCUGCUGGUGCUGUACAUCUACAUAAGCAAGACAAAGAGAGAGUGCUGCUGCAGUGCACAAGUAGUUAUUUGUGGAGGCUCUGUAUGAAAAAGCUGGUCAUUUCCUCUCCUUCAGUAACAAGCUCGAUAGCCAUCUAAUCGUGUAUGGUAGGAGUGUAACUGCCUACUUCCCACUAUAGCCACAAGAUAGCAUUUUAUUUCUGGUUCAUCUAGCUGUUUGGUCUGUUGUGUCCCUGAGGAUAAUUAGUCCUGAACACAGGGAAAGUACUUAUCUUGCACCAGGGAUAUUCUGUCAAAUACCUCCUCACACAAAAACUCAUUUAAAAGGAUAAAAAAAAACUACCUCAGGAAUUGAAUACAUCUGCGGGCUUCUAGUCACUUCCAGCAGGUGACAUAUCUGAAAUCACAGAGCCUCACUUUGGUGACUAGGUAGGAGCCAAUUAGCUUCAUUUUGAACUGGGAAAACUGCAUCAUGACAGCCUCCAAGGAGCAAGUCCUAUCUGUUGUAAACAAAUCUGAUUUGCUCUGUUUUGCUUCCCCACAAAUACUGCACAUCGGUUACAGAUAAAGUUGCUUUACAGGGUAAGCCCCCACCAUCACUGAAAACAGGCAUUGUUUUUCUUCUCCCCAGGAGAGGAAGAAUAAAUGUGACAGUUCGCAGUCACCACUGGUAGUGGCUGGAAACUAAACUCUCUCACCAGAAGUUCUCCCCAAGGCUUCUUUAAAUAUUCCAUGACUAGCUAUGUCCAAAUGCAUUUCCCAGAGGAUCAAAGUACAUUUUUCUUUCACUUGACAGAAGGCACUGAGUUGUUGCUAUCAGUUUGCUCUUACAAUCCUUUUGCAUCACCCGCUCACAGAAAUAAACAUUCUUUGAGGUUUUUCCUGAUGCAGUAACUGACCAUGCCACCACGGCUUUAUUUUGGCCAGAGACGCCUGUGGCAUUUCUGCAAGAGGACAAGCAUCUCGUUCAGACCCCAUUAAAAGAGAGCUCAGUUCUUACAGCAGUUUGACAAGUCUGAUAAAGAGAAAGAAAACCAAAUUACUAGGACUUGAAAUAUAAAGUAGAUGAACCAAUCUAGAGAUGCUGCAUGAAAGAAGGUGGAUUUUUUUCUGGACAAGGAAUGACUUGAGAGCAGCCCUGAGGAGAAGGAUUUGGGGGUGCUGGUUAAUGAAAGACUGAACAUGAGCUGGCUAUAUGCACUUGCAGCCCAGAAGGCCAACUGUGUGCUGGGUUACAUUAUGAAAAGAAUGAAAGAAAAGCAAGGAAGAUGAUUCUGCCCCUCUACUCUGCUCUUGUGAGACCCACCUGGAGUACUGCAUCCAAUUCUGGGGCCCUCAACACAAGACAGACAUGGAGCUGUUGGAGUGGGUCCAGAGGAGGGCCACAAAGAUGAUCAGAGGGCUGGGACACUUCCCCUACGAAGAGAGGCUGAGAAAGUUGGGACUCUUCAGCCUGCAGAAGAGAAGGUUUGGGAGACCUUACAGCGGCCCUUCCAGUAUCUGAAGGGGGCAUACAGGAAAGCUGGGGAGGGACUUCUUAUAAGGGCAAGUAGAGACAGGAUGGGGGGAAAUGUCUUUAAACUGGAAGAGGGUAGAUUUAGACUAGAUAUUAGGAAGAAGUUAUUUACGGUGAGGGUGGUGAGACACUGAAACAGGUUGACCAGCAAGGCUUUGGUUCCCCCCCUCCCUGGAAGCCUUUGAGGCCAGGCUGGAUGAGGCUUUGAGCAACCUGGUCUAGUGAAAGGUGUCCCUGCCUACAGCAGGGGCUUGGAGCUAGGUGAUCUUAAAGGUCUCUCCCAGUCCAAACCAUUCUAUGAUUCUUUGAUAGUCACUUCAGCAGUUGAAAAAGAAAUUUUUUGGUUUAAGUCCACCAUCUUUCCACCAGGCCUACUGCUAUCCAUGUCAGUAUUUUUUUCCCCACUUAUGAAUGAAUUUCUCCUUUUACAUGUAAAUAAGAGACUGACCUAUACAGAGUAGGUAAAUCAAGAAGCGUAUUAAGAUGUUCCACCUGUCCCAAAAUACUCCGGCAUGCUACACAUGAGCUGAUACUCACUUUCAACUUUAAAGUUGCUGAGACUGGAUAGUGUCCCCCAGAUAUUUUCUAAUAGGAUCCAACGUUUUGCAACAUGCCCAUCUAGAGACCUGAUCUAUCAGGAAAUGAGAUCUGAACACCUAUGUGGCUUUUGUUCAGCACAAGACGGAGCACAAGAGUCAGGAUAUUCUCACUGCCUAAAGCCAGAAAGGAAGCAAGUCGCCUUGUACAACUCCUGGCUGUAUUUUCCAAUUUUCAUUCUUCCCUUCCAUUCAGCUGCCCCAUCAGGUUUGCAUCAGAGCUGGCACGCAUCUGAACUCCCGCCUGGCCCAGCCUUUGUCAUUAUGCCCUUCAAUGCACAAAGUUUGGUGCGUUUUCCACUCUUCAGUAGGAGGUGCAAGGGCUGGAAAAACUGGCAGUAGAGCACAUAUGCUCCUUUUAUCCCAGCACUUUCCCUUGUGACUGCAUUUACUCUCUCACACGGACUCAGGAUGUUAACUAAACUGACAAGGACUAGAUAGCAGAGAGAGGAAGGAAGGAAGGAAAGCAUCUGCAUUUCCAAUCCAGUGACUGCAAAUAAAGUUCCUCAACUUUUAGAAGUCUCUCAAGCACAGCAUACACAGGGUUUGGAGAAGCCAGGGGCUUCUGAUGAAAGUGCUGUGCUGUUAUUUUCAGUGCCACAGCCAGGCUGGGAUUACGUUUUGGUCUUCUGAGAAAAGGAAGCUGGUUGUCACGUCUACUUCUGCUCUUUUUUAAAACUCUCAAAGAAACUUUGCAACAUAAAAUCACUGAGCACCUACAAAGAAAGCUUUACAAAGGGACACCACUUACUGCCUCAAACUCAGUUUCCAUCACCUCCUGCACAAUUCAUCCAUGCUACACAAAGUCCUAAACAGCACACAUCCUAUCUUUCCCAGUGCAAACAGAUACAUUUUUUUUUUAACUGUAAAGCCAGGCUUUUUGUUUAACACAGUGAAAAAUCACACAUAGCAGGAGCCUGCUGUUAGCAUAACUUACGGUAAUGAAUCAGUUAGCAAGGAGACUGGUGAAAAGAUUGAUUCAUGACAUGAAAAGGGUAACUGGAUCCUUUCUUUUGCCUCCUUAAUUUGCCAACAUACCUGCCCUUACCAGCACCUUUUGAAGCUGUUGCCACAGCACUACUCUUCCUUCUUGGGCUUCAGCAGUGGGUUGAACACAUCAUCUCUUUGCAGACUGCUGAAGAGCUGCAUCACAAGUGAGACUGGAGGUUGGUUGGAAGUCCCUUGAAAUCCAAGCACUUGUGCUCAGGAAGAAUUCACUCCACAUUUCUUCCUUCUUGCUGAAGGCUGGAUGUGCAAAUCCAUCUUAUUUUCACUUGACUCACACUGUGAAGACACAUACUGUGAUGUGGGGUGAUAUUAGCUGUAGAAAAGAAAAAGCUUUAAGACCACUGGGCCUCAAAAUGUGUCAAAACACACCAGGCAUGAGAAUCUGCCAUUUCUCUAUGGGAGGAGGCUGAUCUCCCCACAAAGGGCCAAGCAAGCUGUGCUCCAAGGACCUGCUCUCAUCCACUCAUCCAAACCCACACAGGGGAGCACAGCCAGGAAGAGCCACAGGACCUGCCAUCUCCUGUGCUGCCACCCAGCUCUCUUCCCUCUUGGGGGCUCAGAGCCUGAGCCAAGGUAUUGUUGCCUUUGAGGUUCAUUCUUUUAAAAAACUGACUGACGAUCAAUAUGCCAAAGCUGGGCUGUGCUUUGGGGCUCAGGGAUGGACAGCAAGAGUGCUGGAGCUGGCCUAAGGCAUGCACUGCCUGGGACAGUUGCUCCUUACCUGAGGCUGCACAUUUUGUAACUAAAGUUGGAGGAUGAGUUACCAGGGAGGACUUCAGGGAAGGUGACAGGAAGGAGGACAGCUGGUGUAGCUCCUCUAGAGUAAGCCAUGACUGAAAAGAGAACGGAGGCCCUGACCUGGAUACGGUCCUGGACAACCUGUUCUGGCUGGCCUGAGCAGGGAGUGGACCAAGUGGCCUCCAGAGGUCCCUUUACCUCCAGCAGCCCGUGACUUGGCUUGAUGUGUCUGGAGUGGCACUCCCAUGCCCACAGCCAUGCACUUGUAGCCUUGGGUAAUUUCUUUGCACCAGUGCCUCAGUACUUAAAGCAACACUGAUAACACUUCCAGAACUACACCCUAAAUAGUCUUUGGGACAGAAAUAAAAUUUUGAUUAAGUAGGAAAGCCUUUAUAGGUUAAUUAAAUAACAACUGCUAAACCAUAGCCAACCAGUCAUUAUCUGUGUUUUGAUAUGGACUUAUUACAUAACUGUUAAACUUGGUAUUUAGCAGAUAGCUUCCCUAUUUGAAGGACUAAACAUCUAUUUGAGAUAGUUCAUUUUUAAAUGUCACCAUUUCGGUUUACUAGACUUCUUGCUGUGCUUAACACAAACAGUGGGUAUUUAAAGUAAUAACAAAUCAGCUGUCAGCUGGGAGCACUCAGCAGAAGGUAGGGCCUGUCCUGUGACAGCCCUUGCCCUGCUGCUGGGAGAGUCCCAGGGAGGGUCAUGACGCCUCCAGGCCACCCCUCAACUAGCUCUGGACCUUAGGGGCUGAUGGGGAGAAGUAUCAGCACGCCUUCUGAAAAGUGGCUUCUCAGCUCCAGAAGCACCAGCCUGGUUCUCCCAAAUAGUCUUUUACCGCUUCCUGGCAGCAUUCUAUGAAGGGUGACAUGGAGUAGGAUCCCCUGACCAACCGGUGCCAGGCUGUGGCAGGUGCAGGGCCACUACCUCGCUGCUGCACCCAGAGCUCCUGUGGGCCAUGAACUCCAGCUGCCAUGGGAUGAAAUACUUGCAUGCACCGAACCAAAGACCAUCCCCAACUGCUUUUCAAGCAGGCAUUUUUCUUCAGAGUCUACAUGGAUGGAGAUAGCUUUGCCACCACUCAGUUUCUGCUGUCAUAAUUCUCCUGCUAACAGAUAAGAAAUGGUGAAAUGACAUCCUGCCCAAAGAGUCUGAAUGUCUGUACCCACCUGGGGCACGGUCCUGGUACCAAGGCACUACACCCAUAGAGCCUUAUGGUCACAUUAUUUCUUCCUACAUUCAAUUUUUUUGUAAAAGUGCUGUUAUAUUUUUCAGAAGGCUCUUGCAGCUGUUAUCACAUUGGCAAGCAAUGGCUGGGGCCUUCAGCCAUCUCUGGCAACAAAGAGGUUAAGCAUCAGCAAGCCUAGAAGGCUGGCUUUUGAGGGGUGGGUUUAGGAAGCAAAGUUAACAAUAUAAGAAGAGGAAGUGCUGGCCAUCCGUUUGUUUGUUUAUUGUUUCAGCAGUUUGUGCUGUGUGUCUCGUGUGCUAUCUCCAUCCCUCAGUCUCCCAGCCAGUUCAUUAUGCACGGGAAGAGGUGCUUCCUGCCAGCGACCUCCUGGGUCCCCUCCCAUUGUUCGCAGGGCUGAUGUAAAGUGCUGGGGGCGGCAGAAAGGGCUGCAAGCCUGCAAGAAAUACUCCAGAGACCUUCUUCAGUUAAUAAAACAGAUGGCCUUAUUGGCGUAGGCAAAUUUCAACGCUAGCAUUGCAUUUAAUAGGGUUCAUCCAAAGAAAAUCCCAAGAAAAAUAAAGUGAGGAGUUUAGGUUGUCAGAGCCAGAGGGAUAAAUACAGGAGAGACAAGAGGAUGAACCAUACCUCUGGCAUACCCAGCAGCUCUGCCGUGCCUCUGCAGCCUUCAGGGACUAAGGUUGCUCAACGCCUCCUUCUCUGCUAGGACCUAUUAGUCAGAAGCAGAGGUGCUCCCUGCCUCCAACAGCUAAGCUCUGAUGGCCUAAAUGUCACCCCAGUCUCUGUGCAUAGCAAGGUCUUUAAGUUCCCUAAAUUAGGGCACCUGGGUCCUCCUUGAAGGCCCAGCGCUCUCCCUUCACCUGGUAGAGGAGCAAACAAGCAAGAGACUCUAAGCCCCUAAGACCAUCAAAACUUUGUUUUCUGAAGCCCCAGUGCCCUAUGCACCCCCAAAGUUCCUUCCCUAUGUUUCUGUAGUGAUCAGGCUAUAACACCUUGCAGAAGGAGUGUGCUUCUCAGAUGCUAGGAGAACACUUUUUUUUUUUUUUUUUUUUUUUUGAAAGAACACUUUGUACAAUCCCUGAGCUGGGCCUGAAGCAACACUAACAAUAACAAACAGCAAUGAGCUGGAGCUGCAGAGCUGGGAUCCAGAUGUGUACCUGAACUUCCCUAAAAUUUAAGGGUCUUUAAGUCUGGCAUGGGUUAAUCUCCAUAAAAAACGUGAAGAUGAAGGGGAAGAAAAGGGAAAAAUGCAAGCAGAAUACAGUUAACAAGACACAUGGGAGGAUGUCGCCUUCUCUGUGUGCUUGGUAACUGCAGCCUCUUGAAGGUGUGUCCCCAGAUUCUGCACAGCCAGGAGCUGUCAUUAGCCAGAAAUAAAAGGAUUUCUGCUCACUGACACUGGUGAAAGUAAAGCAAUCUGUUUUGAAAAACAGCUUUAAAGCACACAUUGCCACUUUUGAUUAUAAAAAUCCUAGAGGAAUGUGGGCUUUGCUUUAAAUCAUGUACUUUUUUUUUUUUUCACUUUCUCACUGUAUGUUUACUUUUACGCAGGUACUUUUCUAGUACACGCCUUUAGAAACGUCCAUGAAAACUGUGCCCCAUUUUUCCACUUUCAUUGCUUCUAAAGGUCAAAAGUCUCUCAUCUGAGGCUUUGGAGGAAAAGAAACCUCUCAGUUCCUGGGCUUUCUCUCUGGAGGGAGUCGUCAUUUCCAGGGAAGGGCCGGUGCCUCCCCUCUGGGACAGGAAGCGGCCACAGGAGCACUGUCAUCACUGAAAGUUUUCUUUCAUGCGGAAAUAUUAUUUACACAUGCCACGUCCAAAAGACAACAGUGGCAAGGAGGACUGGCAAGCAACUCUGCUUUAAAUAACCAUUUUCUAAGGCAGGGAGGAGCAUUUUUGUGGCCGUUUCCGUAACAAAGUGUUCCACUCGCUUCUGGCCUAGCUAUGCAGCAUCGUGCUCGUGCAUUCCUAACAGCAGCCUUCCCUUCCCUUCCCUGUCCGCCUUUUGUCAACAAAUAUGUAAGAAAAGAAUUUCACCGUGUCAGGAAUUUUAUGCUUUUGAAACAGAGCUCGCACACUUGACACGACCCAGCCCCCGGACGGAGCUGAGCUGCUGCCCAGAUGGGAGGUCAGUCAUGAUUUUUUACAGAUGUUUGGGAACAAAUCAGUGCUUAAAAGAAAAAAAAAGAAAAAAUAAGAGUCUCCAGACAGUUCAGAGUCAUGAUAAAUAAUUUAGAAAGUGAUUAGAGAAAUCAUGUGAAAGAGCUUUAAGGCUGGAUCUUUCGGCUCCCUGAUGGGGAUACAUUUAAAUUAAACAGCCAGUAAAUAACAAACCAAAGACCAUCAUGCCACUGGAUAGUGAAAGCUGUUAAAGAGCUGGAUUGAAACGAUGAGUGGAUAUCGAGUGCUUUCAGUCAUUUCCCUCAUCCAUCUUUGGGUGAUGAGGGGAAAAAAAAAAAAAAAAAAAAAGGAAAAGCAGUAAAGAAUGAGUAGAGCUCUGACAUUGUUCAUCUCCUCUUUCCUGGUGCAGAAGUCGCCAGAGAUGAAGGAACAGAAGGAAAGCAGAAAUUAUUCAUUUCCUCCCCUCCCUCCCCCUGGAGAAAGAAGGAAUAGGACAGUCACAUAGGCAGGAUGCAAGUCUCCGUCACAGGGAAUGCAGAAUGGUCCUGGCCUGUCAGAGUAAAAACCUGCAAGAGCAGAGGGAUGCCCUCCAUAAAUUAUGUAUUUUGCCUGGUCUUUGUUAGCUUGCAUUAUUUAAUAUUUUAAACAAUUACAAAAAGCCCUGGCAACAACUCUUUCAAAUAUACUGUGGCAACUGAACUACUUAAAGAUCUGUUUCUCCUCCAAAGUUUCUUUGGGGCACAAAUUAAUUUCUGACCCAAUUUUCAAAUACUUCUAAGUGAAGACUGGAGGGAGAAGAGGCUACCCAUCUGCCAAAGGACUAAGGGAAGGGGUGAGUUAACCUAGACAGAACUAAAAGUUCAAGGUAACCUGUACCUUAUGGAUGGGAAGGUUAAACAACAAACACUCUGGACUUAAUAUUACUUGGCAAAAUUCCUAAGAUUGUAUAUAAUUGCCCAUACACCUUUUGUGACACCCAGGCAGACUACUGGCAGAGCAGUAGAUUCCUCACCUUCCUUCAGGAGGACAGAGGACAGUCUGCUUCAUGAAGGACACAUUUCUCCUCUGCACUGUGAAACAAGCCCACUGCUCACAUCAGCAGGGACGGUGCAUCAUUAAGGACGCUAGAUUAGGCUCAAUGCAUAAGAAGUUUCUUGCUGCCUCUGCAGAGGCAAAUGCACACCAGUAGUAAGAGUAGGUGAUGCUCAAUAACCAGGAAAAACUCUCUCUGUCCAUCUGUAUUAAAGCUACUGAGUGAUGCCUGACUACAAAGGACACCAGCUGCAUCCUGGUGACUAAAGCUAAAUUUGGCAAUGGGGCACCAGAGCAGUGUUUAUGGAAUCUGAGGCAGGAUAUAGACUGUAAACAUUGUUUCCCUGAGAUCUUGCUAUGCAUUGCUCAAAAUUAUUUUCAAAGACAACUCAUUAACCCUCCGCCCACUCUUCUCUGAGGUUGGAUAUGAUGUUUAACAGAAAAAUAACAGUCUUCUCUGACUGGAGGCCAGGGCCUAGGCUCCUUCUUUCCCUUUCUUCAAGAUAUUUCCUUAACAGUACAAAUAUUCUGGGGAAUGUCCUGAGCCAAACUAUGCUUUUGUAAUAUCAAUUAUCUGCAUACAUAUGCUGCAUAGGACAGAGCCUUGUUAAUUAAGAAAUUUUCUCGGACUGCCUAUUUCACCAGGUAAGCAACUAGCAGAUAAAGAAAAGCACUGUUCAUCCAACCCCUGCUAACUCACAUGCUCCUUAACUUUGACUGCUUGUGGUUGCUUUAGGGGCUAGGAGGAGAACACAUACCACAUCUCUGCCAAUGUCAAGUCUAAGUUACUUGCAGGCAGAAGGAUGAGCUUUCUCCCCUUUGGUAACAAGUGGUAACACCAGCAACAGCAGAAGCAGUAAAGCCUUGUUCCCAUGAUCGAAGUACUCAGCUGAGCUCUGUGUGGGAUUUCUAGCAAAGAAUGAACUUGCAGCCCAGCUUCCUCCUCACUGGAAGCAGGAGGAACAGCUCUCACAGGAGAUUUCCUCAGAGCUCAUGGAUUUGCUGUCCUCAUGGGGACAGCUUGGAACGGCCUGGCACAGCUACCCACACAUAGCAAUUGCCUGAACCUUGUGUCCUCACUCAGUCAACCUUCUUCUUGCUGAGGCCAAUUUGAAGACUAAAGGGUUUAAACCACAGACACUGGCAGGAACUACAGAAGUCAGAAAACCUUAGCACUUUUUCAUGUUUCAUUAGCACCUGUCCUCCCAGUGGCUCUUCACUUCAGGAAAUUAUGCUUAUUUUGUGGACAAGGAAACCAAGGCACAGCUUUUCAAAGAGACUUGUCAAAGAUCAGACACAGCCCCAGAUGUACCUGUUGCAGGUGUGCUCCUGCCCCAGGUGUAGUUGACCAACCAGGCUAAGGUCUCCGUCACAGCCACUGGGCUGUGGCAUGGGGAGGUUGCAUCGGGGACCCAGUGCAUAGGGCCAGUGAUGGGAGGCCUCCUGCCCAGGCAGCUUCCCUCCUCUGCCCAGAUGAGCUGCAUGGUGUGUGCAAAUGCCGAAACAAUUGCUUCUGCAGUGCCAGAGUUAGUUACGUCUGAAAAGGUACCACCGCACAGUGCGACAUGUCAUUAGGCUGCCGGCUGGGCACUGGAAGAUGGAUGUGUUGUUCACUUUGGUGCAGGCAGUUAACAGCACAGCUAUUUGGUUACAUGAAUUUACAAGCUUAGCUGCCAAGUAAGGGAGACCACAGGUUAACAGCGAGGGGUGAAGGUGCUUGUAAAGGUGCAGGCUGAGCCCUGAACCAAGGCGAUUACAGCUCACUGGGAGUUUCUGAAGCCCAUUAGUGCCAGAGCAAGGAGCUGUCAAGAUCCACAGAUGAGCAGUUAAGUUUGCAAGCUCAGAGGUAACCGUGCGCAGGGAAGGGAAUUUGCUUUACUCUCACAUAUUCUCUCCCUUUUCUCUUUCCCUCACUGAACAGCCCUGUGCACACUAGCCCCAAGCCGCCCCACUGGGGACAAACCUGCCAGCCUGUCCUCCCCUGAAACACUGGGCUCCUCCCCACCCCUGCAGCUCUCAGCCUCACAGGCAUCAUUCCUGUGGGUGCCAGAACUGCCAAGGAGCCCUUCCACCAGAAAGUACUGCUGUACUCCAACUAGACUGAAUAGGUUCUACAGCAGGCAUGCAAAACCACUGCACACUCUGGAAAGUAACAGCUAAUAGUUUUCCCUAAUGGGCGUCUUAUUUCCUUACACUAUCUUCUCCCUUGAAAUAAAUAAUGGUACUUCAAGGUGUCAGACAAACAGUCGCACUUUAAUUUCUCCCUUUGGCAAGCCCAGCCACUAAUUCAGUCUUGUUAUGGUUUUCCCACUAGGGACAAAAUAUAUACUGAGCUUUGAAAACACAUUGUGUAGCAGCAAUUGUUGCUCUAAGCCAAUGGCUGUUUUGCUUUGUUCAGCACUGUAUGCUUGUGUCUACUGUGAGAUAUUGUUUUGUUAAGACCUGUUAUUGAUUAACAGGGAGAGGAAUUGAAUUCCAGAUGGGAGAUGCUGAAACACUCUAAAAUGCUGCAUAAAAAAUGCAAACAUUUAAAAUCAUCUUAAAGGAAGGUAUCUCUCCUAAACCAGAUCCAUUUCUCUUUUCAGCUGUACCAUCUGCAGCAUAUCACCUAAGGGCAUUCUUACAGUUCAACUUGAGGAUAAAGGUCUUGUCCUCAUGCAGAUUCAGAGCUGAUGAAUUUGUCGUCGUGCAAUUUUGGGGGCCAGUUCACCCCUGACACUUAAGUGCUGCAGCCAAGGGUAACAUUAAGUUCCUGGGAACUCUACAUAGAGCAGCUUUGGACAUUUGUCCUGUAUCCUUCAGUUGCCUCAGAAGUACCACAGUCCUCAGUGUGAAUAUAGUAAUGGCAGAGAAAGACUGAAGAAGACAUUGAAGUGACUGAUACUAGCCACACACAGAAGAGUUAACCUUUGCAAGUGCUCUCCUCUCCAGUCUUAAGUGCUGUAACUUCCGUGCUGCAAGCAUGGCAGGAGGAAGUUUUCUUUGCUUAAUAAAUGUGUCUAUUAAUUUACUUUCAUAUUACAUUUCCCGAGGGAAAGAAAGCACUAAACUUCCCAUUCUCUUAUUUUAAAUGCAGUGUAAGAUACAUUUUAGACCUAGGAUUCAUGCAGCUCCUUAGUUUUUAGAAAUCCUUCUUAUACCCACGUCUUCAGAAUUACAUGACACACACUGUUUAUGAGCAAUGUCAUAAGUACAGAUCACUAAACACCUGAAAAAUGAAGAAAUAAUAGACUCAGAGAAGCCCACAUCUUAAGGUAGCAUGUGAAAUUCUGGUCAUGCCAGGAAGCAUGCAGUAAAAUGAGGAGGGGGACAGAUACAGAGGUGCCUAGGGUGGUCAGAAGAAUGGGUCAGCUUCCGAAAAGGUCUAACUAAAUAAACCCUGGAAAAAGAGACAGCAAAGCAAGACGAGGCAAAGAUCUCUACGAAGCAGGAAAAGUGAACAAUUAUUUGCUGCUUUUCUUAACAUCAGAGCAAGAAGGUGCUUGCUAAAAGAAAUCAUCAGGAGAAAGUUCAAAAACAAGAAGUACUACUUUACAGAGAUAUGUGACAGAGGCCCCAUGCAACGUACUACCACAGGACCUUUUAAAGUUCAAGACGGACCAAAGGUUCAAGAAGCGAUCAAACAAAAUAAUAGAAGAAAUGUGCCUUAAGAGCCGUUAGUUGUAGAAGGGCACGAAUAUAUCCCACCACAGAGAACACCCUGAAAGUGCAGAUUGGAAUAAUCAGAGAAGGCUAUAAUUUGGCUGGUGCUGUUGUAUGUUUGUCCCAUUUCUUGUUUUCAUUCACUAAGUCCUUGCUGUCAGCCAGUUAGACAUGGGAAAGAGAAGGCACACAAGAGCUAAAAGGCCUUGCUCCUGUGUUCUCCCUUCAGGAUUAGACCACUUGAGCUGGCACGCUCUGUCACUUAGCCAGGCUUCAGAGGUGACAGUGUCAAGCCAGCUGAGAAGCACCACAACAUCAUGAUAUGGUUCUGAGAAAAAUGAUCCCUCUUUCUCGUGCUAUAGCUUGUCAUAUAAUAGCAAUAAUCACAAUUGCUUUGUAAUAUACUCAGAGCUGCUUUGGAGAUUGAUUAAAUGCUUCAGCUUCCCUUUAGCUUUAAUCAAACCCAGCAGCUGUUUAUCACUCAGAAUACUUAGAUCAAUAGAGCUUACACCUUACAUACACCUUUAAAAUAGCGUGCCCUGUACCAGCUCCCUUGAAGCUGCAAGUAGCAAUUAUAAUAAGUGAUCAUACACUGUAGAGCUAAAAGUAGAGGUUAAAAACUGAUAAAAUCACCACAACCAGUAGGAUGACACUUUCAAAAAACAGCCUUCCUACUUGCAAAUUUUUCCUAAGAUCUUAAUUAAAAAAAAAAAAAAAAGUCAGGAAGGGCUACGGCCAAAUGUGCUCAGCCCUAGCAUCAGAUUGAACACACAGACUACUAGAUAGAGCAAGGCAGCUGCUCCAUAAGCUGUGGACCUCUUCCCCGAGAGCCCAGUAGCAGAGGAAAGUCCAUGGACAGGGCUGCAUGAAAUCCCAAACACUAAUUAGAAUACCUCAUCUUUAGUUGGAAUGGUGUAAGGAUAGGAGGCAGUUGAUAUAGUUAACCAGUUUCAGAUCACCAAAGAAAGGUAGAGGUCACAAUUCAAUAAUAAAGAAGGACUAGCUUACCCCUUUCCAAGGAUCAGUGCUCACUAGAAACUCCCAGGUAAGACGAUCUCCAAGGAAAAAUGCCUCCCCUUUUGACUGCCAGCCCUUAAAUGAGGUUCGGGUGAAUUGCUUGCACCUGUGCUACCAGAGCUGGCUAUACCCCUUCAACAGGUGCUCAAUCACUGGUUCAGGCUGUGACCUAGCAGUUCCUAUACAAAUGGAUAAUGACUACAGAUAUCUAUUUUACUCAUUCUGUGAGAUACACUUCUGUCUUGUAACUGAGUUGAGCCAGCAGUUUCAGAGAUCUAACAACAAUAAAGCUAAGAGCAUAUUUUAAUUACAUAAAAAUUAGCAAAUCCUACUGAAGAUAGCAUGAAAGCUUUUACUGACACAUGUGAAUCCAGGAUGUCCUUCUCCAUGUUAAUCAUGGUAAAUUAAGUGAAUGGAAGUUGAACUCCAGGCAUAAAAUCAUCAAAUCCAGACGAAACAUAUUGGAACAGUCCAUUUCAUCAUGCUGCCAGACAAGACAAGACAAACUCUUGGCUGGUGCCUUGAAAAGACAAAUAUUUGGAUAGGAAAAGAAAGAGAGAAUAAAAUCAUUGCUUCUAAAAUGAUAUGUUAUGGAAAAUUAUUGCAUCACUUUUACUAGCAGUUCACAGCUACUCAUUAAUUUUGCAAAAUUGCAGCAGCUCUGACUCUCUGAGGUCUUCUAGAGCAGCAGCUUCUUACUUGUUCAUAAGGGGACAAAAAAGCUGUGCUCAAGAGCAGCCCCGCAUGAGAAAUGGUGUUUACGUGGAAGGUGACAAGAUUUGGUUCAUUUUAUACACAGUUGGGACAUGAGUUUGAAAGAUGGGACAUUAAGGCUGUGUUUUUCCAGUCACACGCACACAAAAAUGCAGGCCCUUUUCCCAGAAAGAAAGGUUGUGUAAAGUGGUAUUAAUGUCACUUUAAGUCAAGAAAGAUAUAGCAGACAGCAGCCACUGGGAUUUAGGAGCACUUUAGGUGGGCCAGCCUUCAAACCCUCACCUGUUCCUGGCACCGAAAAGGGAGAAUGAGAAAAUUGGCACAUCACUUACAGAAGCUCUGCAAAAAUGCAACAUACUACAUUUCCUUUCUUAGACACUGAGGUGUGAUAAGGAAAAGAUCAUUAAAAUCCAGUUAAGAGGGGAGGUAGGGAAAACACUAUUGGUGCUCAUAAGGCCUCAGCCUUCCAGUAGACUGGGGGAAGGAGAAAGGAAAUAACAUGAGAUCAAGGCAAACAGCUGCUGUCAUCCUUCUGUGUCCUUCACAAAAGGAGGAAUGCUGGAUAAUCCAGUGCUUUUUGGCUUUAUUUUGUUUUGCUGCAUUUUUCAUACCUGCCUAGGACUCUAGCUCUUAAAAAAAGAGGGAAGUGGGGGAAGACAGGCUCUUCAAGUUAUUUUUAUGAGCCCAGCUAGCAUUUCACACAUUUCAAUUUCUGCCAGUGUGUGUUCCAUUUCACACUGCUAUCUGCUUGAAAGCGUCUUGCGAGGGGAGGGAGGGAGAUACCAGCCAAAAUAGUUUUGAAUGCUCUUUGUUUAUUAUAUGCAGAUCAAGCAAUUCUUAUUAACUCAGUUUCAGUUCUUCCUUCAUAGGUAGCAGUGCUGUGAUAUUAUUUGCAGGCAGCCAAGGUAAUUACCAUCCAGCAGGGUCCAAUUGUUUUCAAUUAAAAGCUUGACUGAAGUCUUUAGUUUUUAAUACCAUUGUGACCAUCUGCUUUCACUGAAGUUCAUCAGCAAAGGCACAGGCCUCAUUCUAAUGCUGCUUAAUUAUAUAGAGGAACUUUUUUUUUUUUUUUUUGGUCAGAGAUUCAUUUUUCCCUGCUAAAGAAAUGGGCAGCAAAGGGGCUACGUGUCUUUGCUAAUAGCCUGCAGCAAGAUGGAGCAGCCGGGAAGAUCAUUACCUUCCUGGGAGAUCCAGCUGUUACUGCACUGACAAGAAGAUCCAGGGGACCAAGACCAGAAAGCAGUUAACCUUUGCUGCCUUGCUCUUCAUUCAGUCACUUGCCUCCCUCUAUCUUCCAGCAAAUCUGAAAGGGCCAGAAGGAAGAGGUGAUCAUCUUAAAACAUGCAGUGCAACCCCUGAUGAUCACGCUUUCAGACUGUGUUGCUGGCUGGGGUUGCACACAGGCUCUCCCACAUGGGCAUGCACGCACUCCCUCCUUCUUGCACAUGUGGCAAAUGCUUUGCAGUCCUGUAUCAUCUCAGAUGUGAGGAUCUCCAAAUCCCUUACAGGCAUUCAUUAAGCCCUACACGAUCCCCAGGAGAAGUAAAUAUAAUUUUCCAGAUGGGGAAAUCAAGACAGUAAGAGGUUAAGUGACUAGCCUGAGGCCAAACAAUAAAUAAGUGGCAGAAUCAGCGUGAGGAUCUGCCAAGUCCCAAGUUUAACACAAGUCUCCUGAGCGUUCAUCACCAGAAAAGGAAAAAUGACACCCUCACAUCCUCAAAACACUUAAAUGAAGCCCUGUUUUAUAUGUGCCAGAGCUAAUGCGCACAGCUCUUAACAUUGCCAACUGUGAAGAGAACAGCAUUUUGCAGAUUCAAUGCAGAAACCGCUGUCUCCAGGCAGGAAGCACACUGAUCUUGCUCCAUGCUAUCCACCCAGGCAGGCACACAGCUUCCUUACAGGUGCCUGCUGCCAUUUAUGUUGCACACAGCUAUACCAAGGAUCAGCCCCCUGAGAUACAAGUACUUUGCCAAGUGCCAGUUAAAAGAGGAAGUAUUUGCAGUACUACACUGUAAGACAACAGGAAGAGCUAAACUGGUGAACAGCACUGCUUUAGUGGCAGUCUCUGAAUCACUCGGCAAUGGAGCCAGAAUCCUUUCCAUCUUCUUGGCCAGCCACACAGGCAUACCCUUCUCUCUAGUAAAUCCCACAGCCAUUCAUCUGAAACUUAAAUCUCUGCUCCUCACUAAACCCUCGGAGAGAUGGAAGUUGGCUUUUGCCCUCACUGCUGGAGGAGUCUCUCUCCUUGGGGCUCAUCUUCACACUCAGUACAGAUAACGCUUCUUCCUAUAGAUCAUCUGGCCUUCUCUGAGCUAGCAUAUCAGUCAGGACUGGAUCCACGUUAAGGUUGUUAUACAGCCAAGUCCCAGUUUGCUAUGCAGUACUGAGAUCUCUACAGCUCCUAUACAGCAAAGGCAUUAAAAUGAGAAUCUGAGGCUUGGGAGAUAAUUACUCCAGAAAAUGGUCUAAAUGACUUCAGUAUUUUGAAAGGCUUGAGGUGUUGCUGUUAACUACACUCAGCUAUUGCAAAUGUAAAGCAAUUUGUUUCCAUACAGAUUUCCUUUAAAGCUACAUGUAUGUGUCCUAAAUACAUAAUUACACACCAGAGUAUAAUGGCUCAUUCAGGUUUAUUUCAUAACCAAUAGGCAUUUUAAAAGCAAUUUCUGGAGGAAUAUGCAGCGAACAUACAGCAUAGGUUCCAGAAGGUGGUUUUCUUGCAUUUUUCCUCAUAAGAAGCUCUCAAAGUUCUAUUUCCGCCCAAGAAAAAAGUGAGAAUAAAUAAACCCUUUCUUUAAGAAUUACCUUGAGGGAAACAUAAUGACCCUAUUAAGAAAAUAGUCCAGUAAACACAUUUUUGGCAUGAACAUCCUGUGAAUUGGAUGGCCUAGGAAAUUGCUAGUAAGAUUUUGCAGUCUUUCUGAUUGAAACUAAUCUGUGUUCAUAGCAAGUCAGCACAGCUAUUCCAAAGAGUUAUUUUGUCACCUAUACAAAAAUCACUUGGCAGCGUCCAUUUGGGCAGCUCUUAUGGAGUUAUGUGUGCACUGCAAGAAUUACAGAGGAAUUUCUGUUCUUUUCCAAAAUAAUCCUUAUAAUCUCUCAAGAAGCUGGUAUCUGGUGAAAAGUACUGCAGUGACAGGAGCAAUAAUACAACAGUGCACACAGAUGAAAGAUUUGAACAGCACUAGUACUGUAGAGAGUAACCUAAGUUGACCAUAGAAUCAUAGAAUAUCCUGAGAUAGUAGGGAGUCACAAGGAUCAUAAAAUCCAACUCUUGGCUCCACACUACAUAUCCUCCCCCUCCCCAGAAAUAAAUAAAUACAUAAAUAAAACAAAACGAAAUGUAUUACAUCGUUGUGCAAACACCUCUUUGAGGUUCAAGACAACCACUUCAUUUAAGUUAUUAGUGAGGUGCUGCUUUAUUCUUCUGUUAUUCCAUGAGUUGCUGUAACACAAGCAGCUGCCUUUCAACAGGCAAAAGUGACCAGCAGUGCCUUUCCUCACCUCUCCUCAGGAGCUCCUGCCCCUGCAAAGAGCACUGAGUUCAUCCUGCUUAAUUGGAAGCAUUUAAAAUUGAGAUGCUGAAAUCAGGUACCACCAACAUCAAUAAACAGGCACUUCCAAAGGGCACCAAAGAUCUGAAUCUCCCAUCAGAUGUUCUUCUCUUUCUCUAUAAACUACAGAGACAAUUUAGCACAAACAAGCUCUUAACUCUGGCACCUCAGUUAAUCACUUAAAGAAAAAUAAAAAGUAAUUAGUUCUGCAUCUUUGAAACUGCCUGUUUAGCUAUAUUUAAGCAGAAGAGCUACAGGAUUUUAAAACAUCCCUAUUUUAAAGAUGAGAGGUAGAUAAAUGACUCAUCUUUUUCCGUAUGGUCAUUGUGCUUGUGAAUAGGUGAAGCAAAGCAUGGUAUCUCGGGGAAUUUGGUCUGAGAUUUUAGAGGCAACAGUAUCUCUAUGGCCUUGAUCAUAAGCCUGCACCCCAAGAAGCAAAGCCAAUGGUGUAGUCUGUAGGAAUCCAGUUAGGCAAGGGGGUAGGAAGCUGUAAAUCAAGAUAAGUAUCAUGGUUCUAUGGCACCCUUCAUGAAAAGAAAUAAAUUAAUGUACACUGCCACACAGGGAGGUUUUGCCUGUGUUGAUAAGAGGGACUGAAACAAGCAUGCUGAAGGCAAUCCAGGUUUAGCAAAAGAAGGAGGAAUUCUGAACUGCAUUAUGGACAAAUAUGAGACUAUGCUCAAUACCAAAUUUCAUACACCAAGCAUACAGCUCAUCCCAGUUACUCUCUAUUUAUGAGACUGUAGCCCAACACACCUGUACUGUGUAGAAAUGUGGUUUGAUGGCUCCACUGCGACCUCAUGGGCCCUCAUGGACAAGGCCUUCAUUUAGAUAUCCAUGAAGUACAACAAUACAUUUCUCACUUUGUUCCUAGAUUUACAAAUAAGUCUGAGGGCAGCUGACAAGGAUAGAGACAAUGGAUGAAAAGUAAAAAUCUCUUCCUGUUUCCUUUACUAUAUUUCAAUCUAACUUAAUUAAAGUCAAGAAUCCAAAUGUCAUUUUUCUGUAUAUUUACUCUUUGGAUAAGUUCAAUAAAAAUACAAGAAAAAAAAUCUAAGUUAUUUAAAAUAUUACACAUGUCCAGAAGGUCUGCAGCACCUCCUUGCUG
Long non-coding RNA from Gallus gallus (chicken), 20135 nucleotides. The record is from Ensembl. Lineage: Eukaryota; Metazoa; Chordata; Aves; Galliformes; Phasianidae.